Molecule: non-coding RNA, 68 nt
Organism: Potamilus streckersoni
Lineage: Eukaryota; Metazoa; Mollusca; Bivalvia; Unionida; Unionidae
Source: the annotation of a GenBank genome assembly
GUGGCCUAGUGGAUAGAGCGUCCGCCUCAGAUAAGGAAGGUCGCGGGUUCGUAACCCCGGUCAAGUCA